GUGAGGAAUAUUGGUCAAUGGGCGAGAGCCUGAACCAGCCAAGUCGCGUGAAGGAAGAAGGAUCUAUGGUUCGUAAACUUCUUUUGCAGGGGAAUAAAGUGCAGGACGUGUUCUGUUUUGUAUGUACCCUGAGAAUAAGGAUCGGCUAACUCCGUGCCAGCAGCCGCGGUAAUACGGAGGAUCCGAGCGUUAUCCGGAUUUAUUGGGUUUAAAGGGUGCGUAGGUGGUUUGAUAAGUCAGCGGUGAAAGUUUGCAGCUUAACUGUAAAAAUGCCGUUGAAACUGUCGGACUUGAGUGUAAAUGAGGUAGGCGGAAUGCGUGGUGUAGCGGUGAAAUGCAUAGAUAUCACGCAGAACUCCGAUUGCGAAGGCAGCUUACUAAGCUACAACUGACACUGAAGCACGAAAGCGUGGGGAUCAAACAGGAUUAGAUACCCCUGUAGUCC
This 445-nucleotide ribosomal RNA is filed under the name uncultured bacterium. RNAcentral describes it as "partial 16S ribosomal RNA". It matches the Rfam family "Bacterial small subunit ribosomal RNA", at positions 354 to 796 of the family's 1533-position model. The record is from RNAcentral.